AAAGGGUGCGUAGGCGGGUAGGUAAGUCAGUGGUGAAAUCCUGGAGCUCAACUGUAGAACUGCCAUUGAUACUGUAGAUCUUGAAUUCGGUCGAAGUGGGCGGAAUAUGACAUGUAGCGGUGAAAUGCUUAGAUAUGUCAUAGAACACCGAUAGCGAAGGCAGCUCACUAGGCCUGGAUUGACGCUCAGGGACGAAAGCGUGGGGAGCAAACAGGAUUAGAUACCCCAGU
This 230-nucleotide ribosomal RNA is filed under the name uncultured bacterium. Its description in RNAcentral is "partial 16S ribosomal RNA". It matches the Rfam family "Bacterial small subunit ribosomal RNA", at positions 562 to 791 of the family's 1533-position model. The record is from RNAcentral.